UGACCUCGGAUCAGGUAGGGAUACCG
RNAcentral lists this ribosomal RNA (26 nucleotides) under Umbilicaria torrefacta. RNAcentral's name for it is "partial 28S ribosomal RNA". RNAcentral also lists the same sequence under 2 other names. The record is from RNAcentral. Lineage: Eukaryota; Fungi; Ascomycota; Lecanoromycetes; Umbilicariales; Umbilicariaceae.